Non-coding RNA from Exophiala mesophila, 97 nucleotides. NCBI's taxonomy places the organism in Eukaryota, Fungi, Ascomycota, Eurotiomycetes, Chaetothyriales, Herpotrichiellaceae. The record is from the annotation of a RefSeq genome assembly.
CUUAUAAUGAUACAGUGGUAUGAUUGUCGCUUCGGGUAUGCCUUUGGUUGAAAAAGCCAGAAAUGUGACAGGUCUCGGGUUCGAAUCCCGAUUGAGC